RNAcentral lists this long non-coding RNA (971 nucleotides) under Ananas comosus (pineapple). RNAcentral's name for it is "long non-coding RNA (ACOM_LNC010220)". Lineage: Eukaryota; Viridiplantae; Streptophyta; Magnoliopsida; Poales; Bromeliaceae. The record is from RNAcentral.
UCCAGAAUAGCUGAACUGGUCGAAACAAGCUAUUGGAUCGCUAUGAACGAAGUCCGAUACGCGCCGAAAGUCAACUCUACUUCGCGGCUUCUCCGAAAAACCGGAGUUACUAUUCACUUAAGUGAAUACUAAUGAUCGCGUAACUUCUCCGUUCUAAUUCGUUUUUUCAUGAAACUUGACGAGUGCUUAUGUAAUUAAAUUACACAAAAAAACAUCAUCAACAGAGAGUUUAGCUACACUGCAAAAUCUCAAUCCUUAUAGAGAGAAAGAGUGGAAACUUACUCUCUAUCUCUCUCUCUCUCUCUCUCUCUCUCUCUCUCUCUCUCUCGGUUUGGGACCAAAAUAAGGGUUUACAUAUAUAUAUAUAGGCCCCCAAAACACUAUUACAACUAGCCGUUUAGCUUUCAGAAUCUGAUACUUUUCGUCGGAGCCCUUCUGAAUGUCCGUUUGCGCUCAAAUUUGACAAUCAGCCUCGGUUUAACUUAAUAAGAACAAAAAAAAUUUAAUCUUUCAGUUUCGACCAUUUUUGGUUACCAAAAGCUCUACCGAACUGAAAUCUCUAACAGAUAGCAGUCAGAUUUUAUUUUCCACUUUCCGGAUGUCGGAAUGAUAUGAAACUUUAAAUCUAGCCUCAUAAAAAUAAUCCCGACAUAUUUUCAGAUUUUCAUAAUUUUCUGACACUGUGAAUUUUCUGCUAAAAGAUCAGCCCCGUUUCUCACAAAAAAUUCUAAAUUUUCUCUUUUCAUUCUGAUUUCAGCAUAAGUCAUUUCCGACUUAUAUUUUACUUCUCAAAGUCCAAUAAAAAUAAUAUCUUACACUAUUUUUAUUUAUUUUUACUUUUUUUUAUUAAAAUCCGGUACAUCAUAUUCUACCGUAACUUCAUAACUUCAGAAGUUCGGCACCUUACAUCCUCCAUUCCUUCAAAAGAGUUUUGUUCUCGAAACUCAAAUCACAUUUCAACUUGACUUAUC